AGUAAUCGCGCCACCACGUCGAUAAAAAUACACUCGCGCUUAUCUCUUAUCUUAAUUUGUCAACGAUAAGCAUUAACAUUAUCAUCACAAAUACAGUCAGUGCAUUUUUUUCACGUGAACCACAAUGGACUUUUACAAAAAAAUGGUGAAGCCCAAAGACCCUAAUGGUGUUUUAAGUGAAAAAGAGUAUAAAUGUGCCAGUUUGCAGGCAAUUAUCAACGAAGCAAUUAAAGAAAACAAUAAGAGACAUUUAAGAGAUUUAGUUGAAGAGGUGAACGAGCACUUGGCGGAUCUGAGAGCCAUAAAAAACGACGUUAAAAACCAAGAUAAGUGCAAUAAAAUAAUAAAGCAACUGGAAGAUUGUUUGAUAAAAAUUGCAAAUCAAAAUGACGUGUUUCACGAUGUUAUGGCAACUAUUCAAGCGCAACUGCAAGAAUUGCAAAAUUUAACCAAUCGAGCUAUAAGGGAUGAGAGCCUAGAUGAACUUAAGAGGCUAGCAGAACGUAUGGAAGGGAAUAUAGCCAUUGUAAAAGAAAUCCCAGAAGUAAAAGGAGCUAUCAGCGGUGAUAAUAGAAACGAAAAAGUUUUAGAAGUUGUUAAUCAAUAUACGAGUUUGCUGAAUAAGGCUUUGGAGCAUAUUAAUAGACAAAGCAAGGUCAUUAGUGCUCCAAUACCUGUUGAGGAUAUACUAAAUAAGUCUGAGGUACAAAGCCCGUUCAAACAAAAUAAAGUGGCCCUAAACGAAGUCGAAGAAAAAUUAAAACUGAUGCGUCAAAAACGACUGGAUCGACUGAGCACUUUUGUGGACCAACAGUCGAAACUUUCCGGGGAGCGGAUCAAAGAAAACGCGACGGACCACGGGGCGAAAAUAACCGAAAAAAUUGGCAACGAAAGGCUGGAAUCGGUGGAAAUGAGCGAACCGGAACGUGGUUCGUUUAAAGUUGAAAAAGUCCGGGAAACCGGAGCGACAAGCAAUUUUGGUAAAGGCGUUCGGCACGAACUUUUAGCGCAUCCAGAAAAAGUUCAGAAGGAAAAAACUUUCGGGAAAAACUCAAGUUCGGACGUGAAACCCGGAUUUGUGAGCGGAUUAAGAAAUAGUUUCGGAAAGGGACCGGUGUCUGGAUCAACGGCAAAGUCUGGAAAUUCAGUUAGGCCACGGGAACCUGCUCCACCACCUCCGCUAAAUAAUUACAAAACAACACCAGAAAAACCCAUGAGGCAAAUUUUAGAAGAAACUCAAGGAAACACACCAAAUAUCAGGGAAAUAUCCAGAAACAGUGUGGUUACCAAAAGCUUUGCUGAGAGGCAGAUCGAACAUGCCAAAAAUCAAAAUGCUUCUAAGUUGACUCCACCAAGGACCCCAACCAACAUCAAAAAGAAAUUUUUCAACAGCAUCAAUUGUGUGCUGGGAAGCAGCAGCAAGUCCAUAGAAGAUUUACCAGAUGAAUUCAAAAGUCCAUUUGAAAGAGAACUGAAAAAUGUACAUUUAAAAAGCGCCAGCCGUUUGGAACAUAAAGAGAAAGACAACUUGUUAGUGGAAGAUGCAGGUGCCAAAGUUAGAAGAUCAAGUUCCGAUAGAAGCCAAGAAAAAAGUGAGCAAACCAUAAAAACAUUAACUCGAGAUGAGAUACCUCCAUUACUACCCUUAAGAAAAAAUAAGAUACCCUUAGAGAGACCAGUAAUACCAAUUGAAAAAAGCACUUCUCAAUGUCAUCUAGUAAGCAAACCAAGAGCCAACAAAGGAGAAGUCAGCGCAGAAGAAGCCAUAAGAAAGAAAGUCUGGAGAACCUCCUUGGAUUUCGAUACGGUGAUGAUCAGAAGAGCAGAACCUAUAGAAGAGUGUACCAUAACAAUUAAAAGAGAUAGCAAUAACACCAUUGAACCCACCACUGAACGAUGCUCAUUCACCUCUUUUAAGUCUACUACAGAUAACUCAAUUGAAAACCCUUUGUAUGAAUUAAUUGAUAAUUUAAAUCCUGCUCCAGCAAUUAGAAGGAAAGACUCAUUACAUUUAGAUAAUCUGCUCUUGUCUGCGAAAACUUCAAGUUCCAGUAAUGUCCUCGACUUGGUUCAUGAUGAAAACCACAGAAAACUUCGCAGAUCAUCGUCCAUAUUACGAAAAGAUUCGCAGUCAUCGGUCAUUCCAAACAAAUUCUUGAUAACUGAACCCAUUAUAUCCAAGCUGGAGCAAGCAAUUUUAUAUUUUAGAGGGUUAAAGAGAGAUGAUGACUAUUUUUGGCUAGAUAAGCUUCUAUCGAAAUACUACGUAAAGGUCGACGAAAUCGAAACGAAAACCGCUUUUGAUCAGAUUGAAAAGAACAAUUUGUUAGAGAGACUUAGAAAGGCUAAUAAAAAUUUGGAAGUGAAGGUGAAUCAUAACGAGGAUAUGCUGAAAAAGGUGUUUCAGGAGCAAGUUGAGAUACUGGGGAAAAAGUAUAUGAUAAAAUAAGAUUAUGGUGACCAGGAUGAGCGACCUCUAGGAAAUAAGCCGCCUUAUGUGAUUUGCCCAGUAGCUCAAUAUAUGCUCUGUUAUGUCAAUCUUUUGUCCUUCCUAAGCUAUGGGUAACAACUGUACAACCAGCAACGUGUGCUUCUGCAAGCGAUUCUACAAAACCGACCCAAACAUCAUUGAAAUCAUCGUGAAAGACACCAAAGAUAUCACGUUAAAAACCGUGCAAUUAAACUCAAAAAAAAUCCGAAAAAUUCGCUUUAUAUUACCAAUAAUUAAAGUUACUGAUGAAUUUAAUCGGGAGCAUUUAGUUUAUCAUCCUCAGGAGGAAUUAAAUGUGAAAGAAGAGGACAAUGCUAGUACUAUGACUAAGACUAUCGUAAUUUCUUCAGAUAGUGUGCCGCAGGUAAAUGGUAGUAAAAAAGUUUCGUAUGAAUUUGAAGAAAUCGAUUUGACUAGUUAACAUAUACUACUUAAAGUAAUUAAAUUAAAAUUCCUUGAAUAUACUAUCUAAAAGGGGUAUUAAAAUUCCUUAAUUACUUUUAAGCCCUUUAUACCUGAACCGUAUAAAAUUCAGGUAAUAUUAAAAUGAAAUACAAUAAUAAUUUCAAGAAUAAUAUCAGUUAAUUAAGUUCAGUGUAACGAGAUGGUCAUAAUGGCUCCCUCGAAAAUUCCUCGACCCGUAGUAGAAUCAAAAAACAAUUUUUAUCCAGCAAAGCCUCACAAACAAAUAUCCAAAGGUCGGGAAACAUUGUUCUGCUAAAAAGCGAUAUUAGAAAAUAAAGUCUGAGACGAGGUACAACUUUUGUAAAUAAAUAUACUGAAGUAAUUGGGAAAAAAAGAGAUAAGACUUUUGUAAAAGUAAGAAGUCAAGAAUUUGUUUAUAAAAUAACUGACUUUCAUAAAGUGGUUUAUGGUAGCGGUUGUAAGAAGUACAAAUCUGAGUGUGAAAAAUUCAUUUUGAAAAUUAUGAAACGUGUUGCUGAUGUUGCUAAUGCGGAAUCCUUGGAAUUGCUUGCCUUGUCUGUCUUUGGUCUGUUCAGUUUUUUAUUUGUAAUUUUGUUACAUGUACCUUAAGUAGUUUUGUACUUAAAUGUAUCAUCUAGUCUUAGUUAAGAUACAAUAUAUUGUUUUAGUCAUAGUAUUUUGUAUAUAAAAAUGUAAAAUAAAAAAUUUAUAUCGAU
Anthonomus grandis grandis is the source of this 3633-nucleotide RNA transcript. RefSeq lists it as uncharacterized. The record is from RefSeq and is a predicted model, not a curated record. NCBI's taxonomy places the organism in Eukaryota, Metazoa, Arthropoda, Insecta, Coleoptera, Curculionidae. The transcript is spliced from 9 exons.